GACGAACGCUGGCGGCGUGCUUAACACAUGCAAGUCGAGCGAUGAAGCACCUUCGGGUGUGAAUUAGCGGCGAACGGGUGAGGAACACGUGAGAAAUCUGCCUUCAACACUGGGAUAACUCCGGGAAACCGGGGCUAAUACCGGAUAUGAAACCUGCGGGCAUCCGCGGGUUUGGAAAGUUUUUCGGUUGAAGAUGAUCUCGCGGCCUAUCAGCUUGUUGGUGAGGUAAUGGCUCACCAAGGCGACGACGGGUAGCCGGCCUGAGAGGGCGAGCGGCCACACUGGGACUGAGACACGGCCCAGACUCCUACGGGAGGCAGCAGUGGGGAAUAUUGGGCAAUGGAGGAAACUCUGACCCAGCGACGCCGCGUGCGGGAUGAAGGCCUUCGGGUUGUAAACCGCUUUCAGCAGGGAAGAAGCGAAAGUGACGGUACCUGCAGAAGAAGCGCCGGCUAACUAUGUGCCAGCAGCCGCGGUAA
This 479-nucleotide ribosomal RNA is filed under the name uncultured bacterium. Its description in RNAcentral is "partial 16S ribosomal RNA". It matches the Rfam family "Bacterial small subunit ribosomal RNA", at positions 28 to 523 of the family's 1533-position model. The record is from RNAcentral.